CCUACGGGGUGCUGCAGUGGGGAAUAUUGGACAAUGGGCGAAAGCCUGAUCCAGCCAUGCCGCGUGUGUGAAGAAGGCCUUCGGGUUGUAAAGCACUUUCAGUGGGGAAGAAAGCCUUGGGGCUAAUACCCUCGAGGAAGGACAUCACCCACAGAAGAAGCACCGGCUAACUCCGUGCCAGCAGCCGCGGUAAUACGGAGGGUGCGAGCGUUAAUCGGAAUUACUGGGCGUAAAGCGCGCGUAGGCGGUCUGAUAAGCCGGUUGUGAAAGCCCCGGGCUCAACCUGGGAGCGGCAUCCGGAACUGUCAGGCUAGAGUGCAGGAGAGGAAGGUAGAAUUCCCGGUGUAGCGGUGAAAUGCGUAGAGAUCGGGAGGAAUACCAGUGGCGAAGGCGGCCUUCUGGACUGACACUGACGCUGAGGUGCGAAAGCGUGGGUAGCAAACAGGAUUAGAUACCCCGGUAGUC
This 465-nucleotide ribosomal RNA is filed under the name Vreelandella stevensii. RNAcentral's name for it is "partial 16S ribosomal RNA". It matches the Rfam family "Bacterial small subunit ribosomal RNA", at positions 338 to 795 of the family's 1533-position model. Lineage: Bacteria; Pseudomonadati; Pseudomonadota; Gammaproteobacteria; Oceanospirillales; Halomonadaceae. The record is from RNAcentral.